This 433-nucleotide ribosomal RNA is filed under the name uncultured bacterium. RNAcentral's name for it is "partial 16S ribosomal RNA". It matches the Rfam family "Bacterial small subunit ribosomal RNA", at positions 29 to 507 of the family's 1533-position model. The record is from RNAcentral.
AACGAACGCUGGCGGCAUGCCUAACACAUGCAAGUCGAACGAGACCUUCGGGUCUAGUGGCGCACGGGUGCGUAACGCGUGGGAACCUUCCCUUAGGUUCGGAAUAACUCCCCGAAAGGGGUGCUAAUACCGGAUAAUGUCUUCGGACCAAAGAUUUAUCGCCUUUGGAUGGGCCCGCGUUGGAUUAGCUAGUUGGUAGGGUAAAAGACUACCAAGGCGACGAUCCAUAGCUGGGCUGAGAGGAUGGUCAGCGACACUGGGACUGAGACACGGCCCAGACUCCUACGGGAGGCAGCAGUGGGGAAUAUUGGACAAUGGGCGAAAGCCUGAUCCAGCAAUGCCGCGUGAGUGAUGAAGGCCUUAGGGUUGUAAAGCUCUUUUACCCGGGAUGAUAAUGACAGUACCGGGAGAAUAAGCUCCGGCUAACUCCGUG